This is a non-coding RNA of Odocoileus virginianus texanus, 792 nucleotides long. The record is from RefSeq and is a predicted model, not a curated record. NCBI's taxonomy places the organism in Eukaryota, Metazoa, Chordata, Mammalia, Artiodactyla, Cervidae.
UGAUGAUUGAUCAGGUGUAGAUCACACGCCCAGCCCUGGAGCAGAGCAGACGUAUGCCUGGAGCCACUGCAACCAUCUCGUGAUCAUAAGGAAACAAGCACAAGGAUAAAAAGUCAACUCGAUGGCGACGCAGAAGCCUAGCUUUUUGUGGACACCUUUGAGUCAGUGAAAAAAAAAGGAACUCAUCUCCUUCCAGACUUUCUGACUGUCACCAAGGCCACCGUAACCACUGAAGUUUUUGCCCAUCAAUAAAGUGGAUUCUAUCACAGUAUCACUCAGCCUUAUUAUUUACUUCCAUACUGUUCAACUAAUCUCUUGAGAGGAGUUCUUUGGUGUCUAACUUAGCCAAGUUGGCAGGCCGUCAAGAGCCUUCUCUUGAGAAAAGCUUGUUUGGCUCGCCUUGAAGUUUGCUUGUCCAUCCACCUUCCGUGGCCUUGGAUGCUUGGCUGCUUCUCCUUCUACCAUGGGGGCCUGCUGACAAAUGCAAUGUCUCCGGAGGGAUUGGUGCCUGCCUCUUUCAACACCUCGCAGUUGGUGAACAUCCCCCAUUGUUCACAAAGCUCCUCAGGCUCCCGUAGUUCAUCUCCAAGUUCAAGUCCCCAGUGAGGACUUUCUGUAGCCAUGGGAUUUCAACAUAACAGUUGUUACAACGGACACUGCCACCACCCUCCUCAGGGACAUCCACAACAGAAAGAAGCUGAUCCAGACCAGACCCCAGAAUUUCUUGUUUUCUGAACCGAGUCAGCCUGGUGAGACACACUUUCACUCUUUCUCCUCAAAAGCAGAGACAUU